Molecule: transfer RNA, 86 nt
Filed under: Phrynosoma platyrhinos (Desert horned lizard)
Lineage: Eukaryota; Metazoa; Chordata; Lepidosauria; Squamata; Phrynosomatidae
Description: tRNA-OTHER
Source: RNAcentral
GCCCUGGUGGCACAGUGGUUAAAUGCCUGUACUGCAGCUACUCACUUAUAGACCACAAGGUUGCAAGUUCAAUACUACCCAGGGCU